Molecule: ribosomal RNA, 646 nt
Filed under: uncultured bacterium
Lineage: Bacteria
Description: bacterial SSU rRNA
Rfam family: Bacterial small subunit ribosomal RNA (bases 1-545)
Source: RNAcentral
CCUACGGGAGGCAGCAGUGGGGAAUUUUGGACAAUGGGCGAAAGCCUGAUCCAGCCAUUCCGCGUGAGUGAAGAAGGCCUUCGGGUUGUAAAGCUCUUUCGCAAGGGAAGAAAACUUAGAUACUAAUAUUAUCUGAGGUUGACGGUACCUUGAUAAGAAGCACCGGCUAACUACGUGCCAGCAGCCGCGGUAAUACGUAGGGUGCGAGCGUUAAUCGGAAUUACUGGGCGUAAAGCGUGCGCAGGCGGUUUUUGUAAGUCAGAUGUGAAAUCCCCGAGCUCAACUUGGGAACUGCGUUUGAAACUACAAGACUAGAAUAUGUCAGAGGGGGGUAGAAUUCCACGUGUAGCAGUGAAAUGCGUAGAGAUGUGGAGGAAUACCAAUGGCGAAGGCAGCCCCCUGGGAUAAUAUUGACGCUCAUGCACGAAAGCGUGGGGAGCAAACAGGAUUAGAUACCCUGGUAGUCCACGCCCUAAACGAUGUCUACUAGUUGUUGGUGGAGUAAAAUCCAUGAGUAACGCAGCUAACGCGUGAAGUAGACCGCCUUGGGGGAGGUACGGUCGUCGAGAAGUUAAACGUUAAAGUUAAGUUAAGUUAGUACGGCGUUGAGACGUUAGCCGACGGACGACGACGAGGGGAGGUUAGG